RNAcentral lists this ribosomal RNA (478 nucleotides) under uncultured bacterium. RNAcentral's name for it is "partial 16S ribosomal RNA". It matches the Rfam family "Bacterial small subunit ribosomal RNA", at positions 28 to 523 of the family's 1533-position model. The record is from RNAcentral.
GACGAACGCUGGCGGCGUGCUUAACACAUGCAAGUCGAACGGUAAGGCCCUUCGGGGUACACGAGUGGCGAACGGGUGAGUAACACGUGGGUGAUCUGCCCUGCACUUCGGGAUAAGCCUGGGAAACUGGGUCUAAUACCGGAUAGGACCACUGCCUGCAUGGGUGGUGGUGGAAAGCUUUUGCGGUGUGGGAGGGGCCCGCGGCCUAUCAGCUUGUUGGUGGGGUGAUGGCCUACCAAGGGGACGACGGGUAGCCGGCCUGGGAGGGCGACCGGCCACACGGGGACUGAGCUACGGCCCAGACUCCUACGGGAGGCAGCAGUGGGGAAUAUUGCACAAUGGGCGCAAGCCUGAUGCAGCGACGCCGCGUGAGGGAUGACGGCCUUCGGGUUGUAAACCUCUUUCAGCACCGACGAAGCGCAAGUGACGGUAGGUGCAGAAGAAGGACCGGCCAACUACGUGCCAGCCGCCGCGGUAA